Sander lucioperca (pikeperch) is the source of this 3162-nucleotide RNA transcript. It is a transcript of the gene named Rho guanine nucleotide exchange factor (GEF) 7b, with no coding region annotated. The record is from RefSeq and is a predicted model, not a curated record. NCBI's taxonomy places the organism in Eukaryota, Metazoa, Chordata, Actinopteri, Perciformes, Percidae. The transcript has 22 exons.
UUUUUUCUGUCUUGGAACAACAGCCUGUCUGAUCCAACCAGUGCGCGUUGACUGUAAUGUUCAAACAAGGCGGGGCUGACCCUCCUGUCUUAUUUUGGACUGACCACAAGUAGGAUAUCGCGGACACUGCUGCUGCUGCUGUUGUUGCUGCUGCUGUUGUUUUAUGAUCAAGUCAUGAAUUCGGCCGAACAGACGGUAACGUGGCUCAUAACACUGGGGGUCCUAGAGUCUCCCAAGAAAAGCAUCUCGGAUCCAGAGGCUUUCCUCCAGGCGUCUCUGCAGGAUGGAGCGGUGCUGUGCAGGCUGCUGGAGCGACUCCGAGUCGGGACGGUGGACAAAUUUUUUCAGGAACCGAGGGGCGACAACGAGUGUCAGAGGAACAUUACCGAGUUUAUUAAAGGCUGCGGGGCUUUCGGUGUGGAGCCUUUUGAGGUCAAUGACCUCCUGCAGGGACUGAACUUCUCCAAGGUCCUAAACUCCUUGGUUGCCCUCAACAAAGCUACUGAAGAUUUAGGUGUUUCUGAAGACAGUGUGUGUGUGCCGCUCUCCUCACACUUGAGGAUCAAGUCAUUUGACUCUCUGAACACUCAGAGUCGCUCCUCAAAAGUCCUGCAGCCUCAGUACCGCAGCCUGGACAUGUCAGAGGGCAGUGGGUGUGGCCACGUGCUGUUCAAGGCGCGCUUUCCUUUCCAGCAGACCAAUGAGGACGAACUCUCUUUCUCCAAGGGCGACAUCAUCAGUGUGAGCCGGCAGGAGGAUGGGGGCUGGUGGGAAGGCUCAUUCAACGGCAAUUCUGGGUGGUUCCCCAGUAACUAUGUACGGGAGCUGAAAGGAAGCGACAAGACAUCAGACAAGCCAAAGUCUGGGACACUGAAAAGCCCCCCCAAAGGUUUUGACACCACCAUCAUCAGUAAGACUUACUACAAUGUGGUCCUACAAAACAUCCUGGAAGCAGAGAGUGAAUAUUCGAGGGAGCUACAGAGUCUCCUGGGCUCCUACCUGCGCUCACUUCAUCCCACAGACAAACUCAGCAGUGUUGACAUCAGUCACAUUCAGGGAAAUCUGGAGGAGAUCUCAACCUUUCAGCAGAUGUUGGUUCAGUCUUUGGAGGAGCAUACAAAACUCCCAGAGAACCAGCAGAGGAUCGGGGGGUUCUUCCUGAAUCUGAUGCCCCAGAUGAAGGUCAUCUAUGUGGCCUACUGCUCCAACCACCCGUUUGCAGUCAAUGUACUCACGCAACACAGCGAGGAACUGGGGGAGUACAUGGAGUCAAAAGGGGCGUCCGCUCCUGGGAUCCUCACUCUGACCACUAGUCUGAGUAAACCCUUCACCAGACUGGAGAGAUACCCGACGCUGCUGAAAGAACUGGACAGACAUAUGGAGGACCAACACCCUGACAGAGCUGAUCUCAUUGCUUCAAUGAUGGACUUUAAAAGCUUUGCAGCUCGGUGCCAGGAGGUGAGGAAGAAGAAGGACCUGGAGUUGCAGAUUUUAACAGAGCCAAUCAGAAACUGGGAGGGGGAUGACAUCAGAACUCUCGGCCCUGUUCUCCAAAUGUCCCAGGCCACAGUCCACACGCAGAACUGUCAGGAGUCAAAUGAACGCUACCUCGUCCUCUUCCCUCACACUCUGCUCAUGCUCUCUGCCAGCCUGAGAAUGAGUGGAUUCAUCUUCCAGGGAAGGAUGCCACUGUCAGGAAUGCUCAUCUCCAGAAUAGAAGACGGAGAAAACCUGAAGAAUGCUUUUGAAAUAUCCGGUGGCCAGUGUGAUCGGAUGCAGGUGGCAUGUAAUAGUCAGCAAGAUCUACAGGACUGGCUGGACCUUCUCACCAAACACACACACACUUCGGCUGCGCACACACACUUGCACAAGCCUCAGUCCGUGUGUCACACAUUGCCCUCUCAACCCGCCACUCCCUCCAGACACUCAGAGUCUCGUGGAGGGAGCAUUGGAAACACUUACCACACCCUUCCUCAUCCCUCUUCAUAUGGGACGGCCCUCAGCAGCAGCCCGAUGUGGGGGCCCCUGGAGCCACCGAGUACCCCUAAACCCUGGAGCCUUAGCUGCCUUCGCCCUGCACCUCCACUCCGGCCCUCGGCUGCGCUCUGCUUCAAGGAGGAUAUGAGUAAGAGUCCUAAGAACAUGAAGAAGCUGCUCCCUAAGAGGAAGCCAGAGAGGAAACCUUCAGAAGAGGACUUUACUGUCAGAAAAAGUACAGCAGCUCUAGAGGAGGACGCUCAGAUACUGAAAGUGAUUGAGGCCUACUGUACCAGCGCUAAGACACGACAGACGCUCAACUCCACCUGGCAAGGAACUGACCUCAUGCACAACCAUGUACUCGCUGACACCAGCCUCACCGUCGCUGGUUUCCCCAGCAACCUGCCUUGUUCUGACCAGUCAGAGGACUCGGAUUAUGACAGUCUCUGGACCGCCCAUAGUUACAGGACUGCCUCAUUUUCUCGCUCCAGCAGGAAGGACGUACAGAUGUUGUUCCCAGAGGAGGAGAAGAUUAUAGUGGAGGAGACCAGGAGCAAUGGACAAACAGUAGUGGAGGAGAGGUGAGAGAGGAGAGAUGAAGGAGUCUGGUGGACACUGUGUACAGUCUGAAAGAUGAGGUCCAGGGACUCAAACAGGACAACAAGAGGAUGAAGAGGACACUGGAGGAGGAGCAGCGGGCGAGGAAAGAGCUGGAGAGGAUUGUCAGGAGAGUUCUGAAGAACAUGAACGACCCAACCUGGGAUGAGACCAACCUCUGAGAUCAAUAUAUGUGUGAUCAUCAUGGACGAGACCAAUUUCUGACUUUAAAGUGACCAAAUGAACUAUGAACUGUUGUUCAACCUGUGUGUGGACAAAAGCUGCCAAUACUUCAUUCAACAUGUCGUCACCAUUUUUACUUGCUUUGACCAGUGUACCAAACUGUGGACCAAGAGAAAAUGUCUGCCAGCCAUCAGCAAAGCCAUCCCAACUGACCGUAAAGCUGUGAAGCCACAUUUGCUGGUAGGCAUGAUGACAUCACUUCCUGUCACUCUCCUUUACUUUUUCAAACAGCCUUCUUUGAAACACUGACAAACAAAUCACUUUUCUCAUCUACUUUUGUAAUUAUCUUUCAUUCCUCUUUGUGCUUUUUUUGCAUUAAGUAUGACAUUUAAAAUGUAACCAUUG